AACGAACGCUGGCGGCAUGCCUAACACAUGCAAGUCGAACGAGACCUUCGGGUCUAGUGGCGCACGGGUGCGUAACGCGUGGGAACCUGCCCUUAGGUUCGGAAUAACUCCCCGAAAGGGGUGCUAAUACCGGAUAAUGUCUUCGGACCAAAGAUUUAUCGCAUUUGGAUGGGCCCGCGUUGGAUUAGCUAGUUGGUAGGGUAAAAGCCUACCAAGGCGACGAUCCAUAGCUGGUCUGAGAGGAUGAUCAGCCACACUGGGACUGAGACACGGCCCAGACUCCUACGGGAGGCAGCAGUGGGGAAUAUUGGACAGUGGGCGAAAGCCUGAUCCAGCAAUGCCGCGUGAGUGAUGAAGGCCGUAGGGUUGUAAAGCGCUUUUACCCGGGAUGAUAAUGACAGUACCGGGAGAAUAAGCUCCGGCUAACUCCGUG
This 433-nucleotide ribosomal RNA is filed under the name uncultured bacterium. RNAcentral describes it as "partial 16S ribosomal RNA". It matches the Rfam family "Bacterial small subunit ribosomal RNA", at positions 29 to 507 of the family's 1533-position model. The record is from RNAcentral.